Long non-coding RNA from Papaver somniferum (opium poppy), 3050 nucleotides. RefSeq lists it as uncharacterized. The transcript is spliced from 6 exons. The record is from RefSeq and is a predicted model, not a curated record. Lineage: Eukaryota; Viridiplantae; Streptophyta; Magnoliopsida; Ranunculales; Papaveraceae.
UUGAAUUGAUUAUAGAUCUCAGAUUUGAGGAGAGAUUCGGAGAGAGAUCGAGAGCGAUAGAGAGAGAACGAGAUAGAUUUGGAAGAGAUUCGUUGGAUUAAAUCGUUUCUUCUCAGCUGCAAACCCUUAGUCUCUCAAUGAGUUUCUAUGCUGGGAUUCAUUUUUCAAUUUCAUUGAUGAACUCGGAAACAAUUCCUUCCUCUCUGGUAAAUAAAUUGAAGAGCAGUCAUGUCUGGUUCUUGUAUACGGUUUCUCUUCAAUCGAAGGUUUUGUUUUUUGAUGCAGUGAUGUUGAUUCAACGACGUUUGCUUGCACAGCAUUUUCAUGUCCUAAUUUACAACCGAUGGAGAUUCGUACAACAGAUAAGGCCAUUAAUAGAAUUACUAGGUAAAUAUCAACCGUAUAUAAUCAAUUUCCUUUUCUAUUUGGAAACUUGGAUUUUUCUUUAUUGUUUUGUUAGACCGGAUCUUAGGAUCUGUAUAUUUUACAGGAACUUUUAUGUAUGUCCAUGUUAUUAGAUAGUUUAUGAUCGUAACAUUAAUUUUGGUUGGGAGUUUGAUUGCUUAGUCUAAUUUAACGUCGAUUUGUUUGUCUGUGGUUCAUAGUUCAUACCACUAGUUUCCUUUAGUGGGUUUCCAUUGUAUCUACUAUUAUGUAUCGUCCGGAAAGCAUAUUUUUACAGACAAAGAGGAGAAAGAGGGAGAGGGAGAGAGGGGGGAAAAGUUGGGUGCUUGCUUUGGUUUGCUUUGCUUGCACUAUCAGGAAUCAAGCUUACGCCAUAUAGAAGGCAAUGAUUCAGAGUGUAUUAGAGAGAAUUUAAGACCCCACCAUGCACCUUAUACAUCCACGCAAGGCAGCAGAGAGAAAACGACUUGAAAAAGAAAUACAGUAUAGAUAGAGUCUAUAAACCAUUAAUCAAUGUAUGCUUAGAUACUCUUUGAAAACUCCAGUUAAUUAAAUGUAGUUGUGUAACUGCAAAUCCUAGUCCCACUGCAAAAAUUUAUACCUUGUGGCUUCCUUUUAAGAGUAGUAAUUCACUUUUAAUUGUGCUGAUCAUUUGUUUAACUUACUUAUACACCCAUGAUAUUAAUAAAAUUUGUUUAGCUUGUUUCUGCGAUGACAUAUUAAUGAAAAGCUGCUCAGGUAUGUUCGCUCUUUCUAAACCAAGAUUGAAUUUCAUUUUUACUAUCCUCUCAUACGUAGUCACGAAGUUGCGUAGAUAUCUAAUUUGGAACUUAAAUGUUGUAUGAGUUACCAUUAUAAUGUAAACCCAUUCCAUUUAUGCCUCUUAAUAUGAAAACCUACAAGCACUUUACUUACCGUAUGUUUGUUGUCGUCCAUUUUUCUGUCGGUUGAGUUUCUACAUUAUUAUACUCGAGGUAGCUCAAACACUUACCUCUACACUCUGUAUGAAAGAAGCAAGAAAUUAACCGAAGAAUACCCAAUGAUUUAAACAGACUGCACUUUCUAAUAUAUAGAGUACGCACACAUAAGAAUUAACUGUAUUGUGAGAUGAUGAUGGGAUCAUCCAUAUAAAAAUUCAGGACUUAGGUCAUCUCUAAACAAGUAAACUUUAUGUAGAAUCUUAUUGUGAUGUUUUUCAAGUCCGUAGGUGUCACUUUCAAAGAGGUAUUUAUCAAAACUGUGUAACCAACAUAUAUGCAUGGAAAUUGGAAUUUUCACCCAUAUUUGAGAAAUCAUAUUUGUUAAUGAUUAGCUUGAUAGCGAUACCCAGAGAUGGUAAGGUUACAUGUAAAGGAAUGCAUUUGAUUUAUGAGAAUGAGUACACCUAAAGGACGACAAAUCAUUCUGCAGUAGUGUGUUUGUGUCAUCUGCACUCUUUAAAUAGUUUUGCAACGACUUAUUUGAGAACUCUCAUAUUGUUGUGUUGUCCAUAAGUUUGUAUCGACUUACUUCCUGAAUUGGUUUGAGUAUUGGAAGGCCAGAUAAAAAUGAUCGGUUGGUAAUCUUGUUUCUUUGCAGUGUGGGCAUAAUGAAUGGAAUAAUUAUGUACUCAUCAAUUCUGAUAAGAGGAUUCAGAAAACAUGGAAUAUAAGGAGUUAAUGUUGAUUGUUAAUGUGUACAUAAUUAUACACAUGUUUUUUCUUAAUGUGUACAUUAUUGUACACAUGUUGAUUGUUAAUGUGCACAUAGUUGUACACCUAGUUAACGUGCAGAUAAUUAUACACCUAUUGUUUGUUAAAAUGUUAUUGUUUCAGGUUCUUAAAUUUUGUAUGAUCUGUUUUUCAGGGAGCUAGCUGUAAACUGAGAAAGAUAAUCUUAGGUUUGUUUAAAUGGUUAUUUGUGAGUCAAAUUUACUCUUUCGACUUGACUAGGAAUGAGUUCAGUCACGAAACCAAGUCUACCAUUGUUGCUGAGUUGGCUACUAGGAGUUUGAAUGUUGAAGUUAAAGUCAUCAAAACUCAGAUUCAGGGCACUUCUGUCAAUAAAAUAAUAGAAUUGAAGUAGCAUAUCAAGAAGUUCUUACUUUGAAGAGGCAAGAGGAGCUCAUUCGAUUCGUGAGGAAGAUGAGAUUUGGCAAGCUGAGAGUGAGCAAAAAGUAAAUGGUGAAUCUGCUGACAAGGAAAAGCGCCGAAAGAAAAACAGGGACCUGCCACUGUUGAGAAAUGUUGUGGUUUUCAAAGCAAUUGUUUGAUGCUUGUCAUGUAAGGCGAACGUGCCAAAGAAUUGGUGAGCUUCCACGUCUAUCCUGACAUGAAUGUUUUACCACACUGACAAAGAGAGAUUUCUCCAAUUCAAUCUCUGAUUGGACAGACGGGGAGGAGAUGGAUUAUGGGUGUAAUCUCUCAAUUAGAAGAUGGUCAUUUUAACUUGGAAGAUAUGACUGCAACUGUACCAGUUGACUUAGCUCAUUCAAUAUCCUAGAAAAGUUCAAUGCUUUUUAAUAAGUUGUCAUCAUGAAACCAGCUUUAUACUUCUGUAUGUGGUGUACAAACUGGUGCACUUUGUCUUGUGUUUGGAUUUUAUGGAUCUUUGUAGAAUGUAAACUAAGAUUUUUAAAAAAUAAAAAUUAUAUAGGCAUAUGGGUA